UACGUAGGGGGCAAGCGUUAUCCGGAUUUACUGGGUGUAAAGGGAGCGUAGACGGCCAUGCAAGCCUGGAGUGAAAGCCCGGGGCCCAACCCCGGGACUGCUCUGGGAACUGUGCGGCUGGAGUGCGGGAGGGGCAGGCGGAAUUCCUGGUGUAGCGGUGAAAUGCGUAGAUAUCAGGAGGAACACCGGCGGCGAAGGCGGCCUGCUGGACCGCGACUGACGUUGAGGCUCGAAAGCGUGGGGAGCAAACAGG
Molecule: ribosomal RNA, 253 nt
Filed under: uncultured bacterium
Lineage: Bacteria
Description: partial 16S ribosomal RNA
Rfam family: Bacterial small subunit ribosomal RNA
Source: RNAcentral